GAGGGUGUAGCUCAGUGGUAGAGUGUGUGCUUAGCAUGCACGAGGUCCUGGGUUCAAUACCCGGUACCUCCA
This 72-nucleotide transfer RNA is filed under the name Camelus bactrianus (Bactrian camel). It matches the Rfam family "tRNA". From Rfam's summary of the family: Transfer RNA (tRNA) molecules are approximately 80 nucleotides in length. Their secondary structure includes four short double-helical elements and three loops (D, anti-codon, and T loops). Further hydrogen bonds mediate the characteristic L-shaped molecular structure. tRNAs have two regions of fundamental functional importance: the anti-codon, which is responsible for specific mRNA codon recognition, and the 3' end, to which the tRNAs corresponding amino acid is attached (by aminoacyl-tRNA synthetases). tRNAs cope with the degeneracy of the genetic code in two manners: having more than one tRNA (with a specific anti-codon) for a particular amino acid; and 'wobble' base-pairing, i.e. permitting non-standard base-pairing at the 3rd anti-codon position. RNAcentral also lists the same sequence under 2 other names. The record is from Rfam by way of RNAcentral. Lineage: Eukaryota; Metazoa; Chordata; Mammalia; Artiodactyla; Camelidae.